CCUAGUUGAUCCUACCAAUAGUCAUAUGCUUGUAUCAAAUAUUAAGCCAUCUAUGUGUAAGUAUGAAUUAAUUCAGACUGUGAAACUGUGAAUGGCUCAUUAAAUCAAUUAUAAUCGUUUGAUGGUAUCUACUACUCAGAUAACUGUAGUAAUUCUAGAGUUAAUACAUGCUACAAACCCUGACUUUUGGAAGGGAUGCAUUUAUUAGAUAAAAAGUCGAUGUGGGCUUGAUUUAUUAGUCUAAUGAUUCAUGAUAACUUGAUGGAUUGCAUAGCCUUUGUGCCGAUGAUGCAUCAUUUAAAAUUUUGCCCUAACAACUUUCGAUGGUAGGAUAGUGGCCUACUAUAGUGGUGACAAGUGAUGAAGAAUUAGCGUUCGAUUAGCACAUCUAAGGAAGGUAAUAGGUGUACAAAUUACCCAAUCUUAACAUGGGGAGGUAGUGAUAAUAAAUAACAAUACUGGGCUCUAUAAGUCUGGUAAUUGGAAUGAAUACAAUCUAAAUCCCUUAACAAAGAUCCAUUGUAGGGCAAGUUUGGUGCCAGUAGUCAUGGUAAUUCCAACUUCAAUAAUAUUUAAGUUGUUGUAGUUAAAAAGCUCGUGGUUGAAACUAAGAUUGGGUCAUCUGAUCUUUCUCAUAGUGAGCACCAGUUUACUUGUCCCUACUAACGACGAUGUGCUACUGGCUUUAACUAGUCGAGUUAUUCCUUCGAUGCUAUUAUUUUGAAGAAAUUAGAAUGCUCAAAGUAGGCCUAUGCUUCUAUACAUUAGCAUAAGAUAACAACAUAGGAUUUCGAUCCUAUUGUGUUGGUCUUCGGGAUCGUAGUGAUGAUUAACAAUGAUAAAAAAGGGCAUUCAUAUUUCAUAGUCAGAGGUGAAAUUCUUGGAUUUAUGAAAGAGGAACAACUACAAAAGCAUUAGCUAGGGAUGUUUUCAUUAAUCAAGAAUGAAUGUUUGAGGCUCCAAAACAAUCAGAUACCAUCCUAGUCUCAACAAUAAAUGAUGUUGACCAAUGAUUAAUGGAUAUUACUUGUAAGACUCCAUCGGCAUCUUAUGAGAAUUCAAAGUGUUUGGGUUUCAAGGGAAGUAUGAUCGCAAGGCUAAAACUUAAAGAAAUUUAUAGAAGGGCACAAUUAGGAGUGAAGCUUGUGGCUUAAUUUGACUUAACACAAGGAAACUUCUUAGUUCCAGGCAUAGUAAGGAUUGACAGACUAAGAACUCUUUCUUGAUUUUAUAGGUGGGGUUGCAUGGUUGUUCUUAGUUGGCAGAGCGAUUUAUCUAGUUUAUUUCAUUAAUGAAUGAAACCUCAGCCUACUAACUAGCUACACAAAGGUGAUCCUUCAUGGCUUGCUUUUUAGAGGGACUAUGGCCAUUUAGGCCAAGGAAGUUCAAGGCAAUAACAAGUCUGUGAUACCCUUAGAUGUUCUAGGCUACAUACAUGCUACAUUGAUUUAUUCAAUGAGUCUAUAGCCUUAGCUGACAAGCCCAGGUAAUCUUUAAAAUUUCAUCAUGAUGGGGAUAGAUCAUUGCAAUUGUUGGCCUUCAAUAAGGAUUUCUUAGUAAGCGCGAGUCAUCAGCUCAUGUUAACUAUGUCCCUACCUUUUGUACACACCACUUGUUACUCCUGUUAAUUAAAUGGUUUAAUGAAGUGAUUAGAUGGUCACAAUGUGGAGAGUUUGCUGCCCAUGACAUUGUGACAAGUCCACUGAAUUAUAUCAUUUAGAGGAAGGAAAAGUCAUAACAAGGUUUUUGUAGGUGAACCUGUAGAAG
Molecule: ribosomal RNA, 1767 nt
Filed under: Durio zibethinus
Lineage: Eukaryota; Viridiplantae; Streptophyta; Magnoliopsida; Malvales; Malvaceae
Description: SSU rRNA
Rfam family: Eukaryotic small subunit ribosomal RNA
Source: RNAcentral